UUGCUGUGAGGAACCUAACUCAACACAUCAUUCUUACUGAUGAGUGAAGAAACAUCAAUACCUGAGCAUA
Molecule: small nucleolar RNA, 70 nt
Organism: Electrophorus electricus (electric eel)
Lineage: Eukaryota; Metazoa; Chordata; Actinopteri; Gymnotiformes; Gymnotidae
Product: small nucleolar RNA SNORD63
Source: RefSeq, a predicted model, not a curated record